GACGAACGCUGGCGGCGUGCUUAACACAUGCAAGUCGAACGGAAAGGCCCUGCUUUUGUGGGGUGCUCGAGUGGCGAACGGGUGAGUAACACGUGAGUAACCUGCCCUUGACUUUGGGAUAACUUCAGGAAACUGGGGCUAAUACCGGAUAGGAGCUCCUGCUGCAUGGUGGGGGUUGGAAAGUUUCGGCGGUUGGGGAUGGACUCGCGGCUUAUCAGCUUGUUGGUGGGGUAGUGGCUUACCAAGGCUUUGACGGGUAGCCGGCCUGAGAGGGUGACCGGCCACAUUGGGACUGGGAUACGGCCCGGACGCCUACGGGAGGCAGCAGUGGGGAAUAUUGCACAAUGGGCGGAGGCCUGAUGCAGCAACGCCGCGUGCGGGAUGACGGCCUUCGGGUUGUAAACCGCUUUCGCCUGUGACGAAGCGUGAGGGACGGUAAUGGGUAAAGAAGCACCGGCUAACUACGU
This 467-nucleotide ribosomal RNA is filed under the name uncultured bacterium. RNAcentral describes it as "partial 16S ribosomal RNA". It matches the Rfam family "Bacterial small subunit ribosomal RNA", at positions 28 to 506 of the family's 1533-position model. The record is from RNAcentral.